RNAcentral lists this transfer RNA (69 nucleotides) under Marmota marmota marmota (Alpine marmot). It matches the Rfam family "tRNA". Rfam says of the family: Transfer RNA (tRNA) molecules are approximately 80 nucleotides in length. Their secondary structure includes four short double-helical elements and three loops (D, anti-codon, and T loops). RNAcentral also lists the same sequence under 4 other names. The record is from Rfam by way of RNAcentral. Lineage: Eukaryota; Metazoa; Chordata; Mammalia; Rodentia; Sciuridae.
GGGGUUGUGGCUCAGUGGUAGAGCACUUGCCUAGCAUGUGCAAGGCCCUGGGUUCGAUCCUCAGCACCA